GACGAACGCUGGCGGCGUGCCUAAUACAUGCAAGUCGAACGAAGCUGUUUUAACUGGUGCUUGCACCGACUUAAACAACUGAGUGGCGAACGGGUGAGUAACACGUGGGUAACCUGCCCCAAAGCGGGGGAUAACAUUUGGAAACAGAUGCUAAUACCGCAUAACCACAGAAACCACAUGGUUUCUGUGUCAAAGAUGGUUUCGGCUAUCACUUUGGGAUGGACCCGCGGCGUAUUAGCUAGUUGGUAAGGUAAUGGCUUACCAAGGCAAUGAUACGUAGCCGAACUGAGAGGUUGAUCGGCCACAUUGGGACUGAGACACGGCCCAAACUCCUACGGGAGGCAGCAGUAGGGAAUCUUCCACAAUGGACGAAAGUCUGAUGGAGCAACGCCGCGUGAGUGAAGAAGGUUUUCGGAUCGUAAAACUCUGUUGUCAGAGAAGAACGUGUGCGAGAGUAACUGUUCGUGCAGUGACGGUAUCUGGCCAGAAAGCCACGGCUAACUACGUGCCAGCAGCCGCCGUAA
RNAcentral lists this ribosomal RNA (524 nucleotides) under uncultured bacterium. RNAcentral's name for it is "partial 16S ribosomal RNA". It matches the Rfam family "Bacterial small subunit ribosomal RNA", at positions 28 to 523 of the family's 1533-position model. The record is from RNAcentral.